This 272-nucleotide ribosomal RNA is filed under the name uncultured bacterium. Its description in RNAcentral is "partial 16S ribosomal RNA". It matches the Rfam family "Bacterial small subunit ribosomal RNA", at positions 524 to 795 of the family's 1533-position model. The record is from RNAcentral.
UACGUAGGGGGCAAGCGUUAUCCGGAUUUACUGGGUGUAAAGGGAGCGUAGACGGCGAUGCAAGUCUGGAGUGAAAGCCCGGGGCUCAACCCCGGGACUGCUUUGGAAACUGUGCUGCUAGAGUGCAGGAGAGGUAAGUGGAAUUCCUAGUGUAGCGGUGAAAUGCGUAGAUAUUAGGAGGAACACCAGUGGCGAAGGCGGCUUACUGGACUGUAACUGACGUUGAGGCUCGAAAGCGUGGGGAGCAAACAGGAUUAGAUACCCCUGUAGUC